GGAAUAUUGCACAAUGGACGCAAGUCUGAUGCAGCAACGCCGCGUGGGUGAUGAAGGUUUUCGGAUCGUAAAGCCCUUUUCUUAGUGACGAGAACAAGGACGGUAGCUAAGGAAUAAGUGUCGGCUAACUAAGUGCCAGCAGCCGCGGUAAAACGUAGGACGCAAGCGUUAUCCGGAAUUACUGGGCGUAAAGCGCGCGCAGGCGGGUUACCAAGUCUUUCGUGAAAGCUCCCGGCUAAACUGGGAGAGGUCGGAAGAUACUGGUAGCCUAGAGUAUGGCAGAGGAGUGUGGAAUUCCGCGUGUAGUGGUGAAAUGCGUAGAGAUGCGGAGGAACACCAGUGGCGAAGGCGGCACUCUGGGCCAAAACUGACGCUGAGGCGCGAAAGCAUGGGUAGCGAACG
Molecule: ribosomal RNA, 402 nt
Filed under: uncultured bacterium
Lineage: Bacteria
Description: bacterial SSU rRNA
Rfam family: Bacterial small subunit ribosomal RNA
Source: RNAcentral